Molecule: ribosomal RNA, 429 nt
Filed under: uncultured bacterium
Lineage: Bacteria
Description: bacterial SSU rRNA
Rfam family: Bacterial small subunit ribosomal RNA
Source: RNAcentral
UGGGGAAUCUUCCACAAUGGGCGAAAGCCUGAUGGAGCGACGCCGCGUGAGAGAAGAAGGCCUUCGGGUUGUAAAUCUCUGUCUUCGUGGAAGAAUGUGUCUUAUGUGAAUAAUGUAAGACAAUGACGGUACACGAGGAGGAAGCCACGGCUAACUACGUGCCAGCAGCCGCGGUAAUACGUAGGUGGCGAGCGUUGUCCGGAAUUAUUGGGCGUAAAGCGCGCGCAGGUGGUUGCACAAGUCUUUCUUUAAAGUGCUGGGCUUAACCCAGUGAUGGGAAAGAAACUGUGUGACUUGAGUGCAGGAGGGGUAAGCAGAAUUCCCAGUGUAGCGGUGAAAUGCGUAGAUAUUGGGAGGAAUACCAGUGGCGAAGGCGGCUUACUGGACUGUAACUGACACUGAGGCGCGAAAGCCAGGGGAGCAAACGGG